RNAcentral lists this long non-coding RNA (569 nucleotides) under Micromonas pusilla. RNAcentral's name for it is "long non-coding RNA (MPUS_LNC000142)". The record is from RNAcentral. Lineage: Eukaryota; Viridiplantae; Chlorophyta; Mamiellophyceae; Mamiellales; Mamiellaceae.
GACGCUGUCGUCCAAGAUCGUGAACAGAUGCAAGCGGGAGAUGGCGGAGAUCUGCGUGCAGGCGGUCAUGGCCGUCGCGGACCUGGAGAGGAAGGACGUCAACCUCGACCUGAUCAAGGUGGAGGGAAAAGUCGGCGGGAAGCUCGAGGACACGGUGCUGGUGAACGGGAUCAUCUUAGGCGCGUUCUAUCUCACACUGGUCCCCAUACGACCGCGUUCGCGUGGUGAACGCCGAUCCUUAAGGACUUUGCCCGGCGCAUCUCUCCGCCCACACCACGGUUUCAAUCCCGACACACCUCGGCGCCCGCCUUUCAACUCCGCUUCUGACGCCUUCCAACUCCACCCCGACGUCGCUUCGUCUGGACCCUCGACCCAUAGACAAGGACAUCUCGCACCCGCAGAUGGACAAGGAGAUCAAGGACGCGAAGAUCGCCAUCCUCACCUGCCCGUUCGAGCCCCCGAAGCCGAAGACGAAGCAUAAGAUCGACAUCGACACCGUGGAGAAGUACGAAGAGCUGAGAGCGCAGGAGGAGAAGUACUUCAAGGACAUGGUGAAGCAGUGCAAAGAC